This 441-nucleotide ribosomal RNA is filed under the name uncultured bacterium. Its description in RNAcentral is "bacterial SSU rRNA". It matches the Rfam family "Bacterial small subunit ribosomal RNA", at positions 28 to 477 of the family's 1533-position model. The record is from RNAcentral.
GAUGAACGCUGGCGGCGUGCUUAACACAUGCAAGUCGAACGGGAUCCCAGGAGCUUGCUCCUGGGUGAGAGUGGCGAACGGGUGAGUAAUGCGUGACCGACCUGCCCCAUACACCGGAAUAGCUCCUGGAAACGGGUGGUAAUGCCGGAUGCUCCAGUUGACCGCAUGGUCCUCUGGGAAAGCUUUUGCGGUAUGGGAUGGGGUCGCGUCCUAUCAGCUUGAUGGCGGGGUAACGGCCCACCAUGGCUUCGACGGGUAGCCGGCCUGAGAGGGCGACCGGCCACAUUGGGACUGAGAUACGGCCCAGACUCCUACGGGAGGCAGCAGUGGGGAAUAUUGCACAAUGGGCGCAAGCCUGAUGCAGCGACGCCGCGUGCGGGAUGACGGCCUUCGGGUUGUAAACCGCUUUUGACUGGGAGCAAGCCCUUCGGGGUGAGUGUA